GAUGAAGAACGCAGCGAAAUGCGAUACGUAAUGUGAAUUGCAGAAUUCAGUGAAUCAUCGAGUCUUUGAACGCACAUUGCGCCCUCUGGUAUUCCGGGGGGCAUGCCUGUUCGAGCGUCAUUAUAACCACUCAAGCUCUCGCUUGGUAUUGGGGUUCGCGGUUUCGCGGCCCCUAAAAUCAGUGGCGGUGCCUGUCGGCUCUACGCGUAGUAAUACUUCUCGCGAUUGAGUUCGAUAGGUCUACUUGCCAGUAACCCCCAAUUUUUACAGGUUGACCUCGGAUCAGGUAGGGAUACCCGCUGAACUUAAGCAUAUCAAUAAGCGGAGGA
This 329-nucleotide unclassified non-coding RNA is filed under the name soil metagenome. RNAcentral's name for it is "partial contains 5.8S ribosomal RNA, internal transcribed spacer 2, and large subunit ribosomal RNA". The stretch from base 1 to 120 matches the Rfam family "5.8S ribosomal RNA", at positions 35 to 154 of the family's 154-position model. The record is from RNAcentral.